RNAcentral lists this ribosomal RNA (468 nucleotides) under uncultured bacterium. RNAcentral's name for it is "partial 16S ribosomal RNA". It matches the Rfam family "Bacterial small subunit ribosomal RNA", at positions 28 to 507 of the family's 1533-position model. The record is from RNAcentral.
GACGAACGCUGGCGGCGUGCUUAACACAUGCAAGUCGAACGGCAAGGCCCUGCUUUUGUGGGGUGCUCGAGUGGCGAACGGGUGAGUAACACGUGAGUAACCUGCCCUUGACUUUGGGAUAACUUCAGGAAACUGGGGCUAAUACCGGAUAGGAGCUCCUGCUGCAUGGUGGGGGUGGGAAAGUUUCGGCGGUUGGGGAUGGACUCGCGGCUUAUCAGCUUGUUGGUGGGGUAGUGGCUUACCAAGGCUUUGACUGGUAGCCGGCCUGAGAGGGUGACCGGACACAUUGGGACUGAGAUACGGCCCAGACUCCUACGGGAGGCAGCGGUGGGGAAUAUUGCACAAUGGGCGGAAGGCUGAUGCAGCAACGCCGCGUGCGGGGUGACGGCCUUCGGGUUGUAAACCGCUUUCGCCUGUGACGAGGCGUGAGUGACGGUAAUGGGUAAAGAAGCACCGGCUAACUACGUG